This 253-nucleotide ribosomal RNA is filed under the name uncultured bacterium. RNAcentral's name for it is "partial 16S ribosomal RNA". It matches the Rfam family "Bacterial small subunit ribosomal RNA", at positions 524 to 776 of the family's 1533-position model. The record is from RNAcentral.
UACGUAGGGUGCAAGCGUUGUCCGGAUUUAUUGGGCGUAAAGAGCUCGUAGGCGGUUUGUCGCGUCGGAUGUGAAAACCCAGGGCUCAACCCUGGGCCUGCAUUCGAUACGGGCAAACUAGAGUAUGGCAGGGGAGACUGGAAUUCCUGGUGUAGCGGUGAAAUGCGCAGAUAUCAGGAGGAACACCGGUGGCGAAGGCGGGUCUCUGGGCCGAUACUGACGCUGAGGAGCGAAAGCGUGGGGAGCGAACAGG